UUGUCGGUGGCUGAGUAAAUAAGCGAUAGACUGUAGAUCUAUUAACGGAGUUAAUUCUUCCUGACAAA
This 68-nucleotide transfer RNA is filed under the name Babylonia areolata. RNAcentral describes it as "tRNA-Tyr". It matches the Rfam family "tRNA". From Rfam's summary of the family: Transfer RNA (tRNA) molecules are approximately 80 nucleotides in length. Their secondary structure includes four short double-helical elements and three loops (D, anti-codon, and T loops). Lineage: Eukaryota; Metazoa; Mollusca; Gastropoda; Neogastropoda; Buccinidae. The record is from RNAcentral.